AUUGAACGCUGGCGGCAUGCCUUACACAUGCAAGUCGAACGGCAGCACGGGAGCAAUCCUGGUGGCGAGUGGCGAACGGGUGAGUAAUAUAUCGGAACGUGCCCAGUCGUGGGGGAUAACGUAGCGAAAGCUACGCUAAUACCGCAUACGAUCUAUGGAUGAAAGCGGGGGAUCGCAAGACCUCGCGCGAUUGGAGCGGCCGAUAUCAGAUUAGGUAGUUGGUGGGGUAAAAGCCUACCAAGCCUUCGAUCUGUAGCUGGUCUGAGAGGACGACCAGCCACACUGGGACUGAGACACGGCCCAGACUCCUACGGGAGGCAGCAGUGGGGAAUAUUGGACAAUGGGCGCAAGCCUGAUCUAGCCAUGCCGCGUGAGCGAUGAAGGCCUUAGGGUUGUAAAGCUCUUUCAGGGGGGAAGAUAAUGACUGUACCCCCAGAAGAAGCCCCGGCUAACUCCGUGCCAGCAGCCGCGGUAAUGUCGA
This 481-nucleotide ribosomal RNA is filed under the name uncultured bacterium. Its description in RNAcentral is "bacterial SSU rRNA". It matches the Rfam family "Bacterial small subunit ribosomal RNA", at positions 30 to 529 of the family's 1533-position model. The record is from RNAcentral.